Molecule: ribosomal RNA, 492 nt
Filed under: uncultured bacterium
Lineage: Bacteria
Description: partial 16S ribosomal RNA
Rfam family: Bacterial small subunit ribosomal RNA
Source: RNAcentral
AGUGAACGCUGGCGGUAGGCCUAACACAUGCAAGUCGAACGGCAGCACAGUAAGAGCUUGCUCUUACGGGUGGCGAGUGGCGGACGGGUGAGGAAUACAUCGGAAUCUACUUUUUCGUGGGGGAUAACGUAGGGAAACUUACGCUAAUACCGCAUACGACCUACGGGUGAAAGCAGGGGAUCUUCGGACCUUGCGCGAUUGAAUGAGCCGAUGUCGGAUUAGCUAGUUGGCGGGGUAAAGGCCCACCAAGGCGACGAUCCGUAGCUGGUCUGAGAGGAUGAUCAGCCACACUGGGACUGAGUCACGGUCCAGACUCCUACGGGAGGCAGCAGUGGGGAAUAUUGGACAAUGGGCGCAAGCCUGAUCCAGCCAUACCGCGUGGGUGAAGAAGGCCUUCGGGUUGUAAAGCCCUUUUGUUGGGAAAGAAAAGCAGCAGGUUAAUACCCCGCUGUUCUGACGGUACCCAAAGAAUAAGCACCGGCUAACUUCGCG